This is a long non-coding RNA of Zonotrichia leucophrys gambelii, 628 nucleotides long. RefSeq lists it as uncharacterized. Lineage: Eukaryota; Metazoa; Chordata; Aves; Passeriformes; Passerellidae. The transcript is spliced from 5 exons. The record is from RefSeq and is a predicted model, not a curated record.
GAGGUGGCUGGGUGAGGGGGAAUUGGAGUCAGUGGCUGUGAAGAAGAAAGAGUCAGUGCUCUGAGGAGCUGCCUAUGAGAAACACCAAGAAGCUUGCCGCCUCAGCAAUGAGCGACUCUUAACUCCUUGUCCUGUAGAAGGCCUGAACCUGACUGAAUGCACAAAAAUUCACUGCUGUCCUUUCAGAAUUGGCCAGGAGGAGCAGUGCUACAUGCCAGUGAGAGAUGAUGUGCAGCUGGCCAUUCGAGUGGUUUUGAUUACCGGAGGAGGAUUUUUGUUUUUGGGAUUUCUACCAUUCUGUUGCUGUGCCCUUUUGCAGAGAAGUCCUUGUGUCAAUCCUUUACAAAAGAUCAGCAAAAAAGUACAGAAAAUUGCACGGGAAAAAAGAGCUGCUGAAAAAAAGAGCCGUGAUGAAGAGAUCCAUCGCCACUUACUGGACUGACCUAAAGAACCAAAAGAACCAAAAAGGAAGGAGCAUCCACCUGAUCCUGAAAAUCAAGCAGAAGUCACCAGGAUUAUUUGGCUCUCUCCUAGAAAAGGACACGUUUUAUUUUAGCAUUGGAGUAAUACAAAGUUGUUAACCCUUGAUAAUAUUAUUGAUUUUGCAAUUAAAGUUUUUUUCAUUCUA